CAUUAGGGCUUGCCCGCGAAGGCGUAGUGUCAGUUGAUGCAUAGGUGACUGACCCACCGCCAUCGCGGGCAAGCCCGCUCC
This 81-nucleotide unclassified non-coding RNA is filed under the name Pseudomonas gessardii. The record is from RNAcentral. Lineage: Bacteria; Pseudomonadati; Pseudomonadota; Gammaproteobacteria; Pseudomonadales; Pseudomonadaceae.